RNAcentral lists this long non-coding RNA (593 nucleotides) under Homo sapiens (human). Its description in RNAcentral is "HSALNT0308824". Lineage: Eukaryota; Metazoa; Chordata; Mammalia; Primates; Hominidae. The record is from RNAcentral.
GCUCUUCCUAAUGCCAAGGAGUAUUUUACUUUUUAGCAAAAACCUUCUCUUAAAUGUGGAGAACACUCAGGGGGAGGUGGAAGAGAGAAAGCAGUGAACAGAUUCAUCUUCCCUUCUAUAUCUGAAAGGAUAAGCAGGCUGUGCUUUCCAGAAAUGCGUGACCUAUCCAAUCCUUCCUCUCAUGGAAACACCAACUCAUCCAUGCCCUCUGUGCUGAAACUUCGUCUCAGCCUGCUGGAAUCACCUGCACCCCAUGGGAACUGUAGCCAUAUCUUCAGUCCUGUGAGCCCCCGUCAUGGCCUGUCACAGGAGUAAAUGAGGAGUAAGGCCCAGAAUACUCAGUACCUCUCAAUGACCCUCAGACGCUGUAGGAAGAGGAUUGGUUCACCUUUUAACCCAGAAUUUCUCACAUUGAAUGGACAGGAUGCAUUCCAAGAGGCCAGAGUAUGUGCAUCUCAGCUCCUGAUGGUUUCCACCACCACCAUUACUUUCUCUAUGUCAAGAUACCUGGGAAGCCGGAGACAGGCAGCCCACGCACUGCAGUGAUGAAAGGACUCUCCAACGAGGCAGACAGGAACCCUGCAGUUGGGAAU